This 762-nucleotide ribosomal RNA is filed under the name uncultured bacterium. RNAcentral's name for it is "bacterial SSU rRNA". It matches the Rfam family "Bacterial small subunit ribosomal RNA", at positions 8 to 760 of the family's 1533-position model. The record is from RNAcentral.
AGAGUUUGAUCAUGGCUCAGGACGAACGCUGGCGGCGUGGAUUAGGCAUGCAAGUCGAACGGUAUCAUCCUUUCGGGGAUGAGAGAGUGGCGAACGGGUGAGUAACACGUAGGUGGUCUACCCUCAAGACGGGGACAACCCAGGGAAACUUGGGCUAAUACCGGAUGUGAGCAACCUUAGGGUUGUUUGAAAGGUGGCUUCGGCUGCCGCUUGGGGAUGAGCCUGCGUCCUAUUAGCUAGUUGGUGAGGUAACGGCUCACCAAGGCAGUGAUAGGUAGGCGGCCUUAACGGGUGGUCGCCCACACUGGGAUUGAGAUACGGCCCAGACUCCUACGGGAGGCAGCAGUCGAGAAUAGUCUACAAUGGUCGAAAGACUGAUAGUGCGACGCCGCGUGAACGAAGAAGCCCUUCGGGGUGUAAAGUUCUUUUAUAUGUGAGCAGUGGGUUCCAUAUGAAUAGUAUGGGAUCAGAGAUAUUAGCAUAUGAAUAAGCAACGGCUAACUCCGUGCCAGCAGCCGCGGUAACACGGGGGUUGCGAGCGUUGUCCGGAAUUACUAGGCGUAAAGGGCAGGCAGGCGGAUCUAUAAGUUUUUCGUUUAAGGCGUCAACUUAACUGGCGUACGGCGGGAGAUACUGUAGAUCUGGAAUGCGGUUGGGGAAGACAGAAUUCCUGGUGUAGCGGUGGAAUGCGCAGAGAUCAGGAGGAAUACCGAAAGGCGAAGGCAGUCUUCCAAGCCGUCAUUGACGCUCAACUGCGAAGGU